Molecule: ribosomal RNA, 417 nt
Filed under: uncultured bacterium
Lineage: Bacteria
Description: bacterial SSU rRNA
Rfam family: Bacterial small subunit ribosomal RNA
Source: RNAcentral
AUAUUGGUCAAUGGACGAGAGUCUGAACCAGCCAAGUAGCGUGAAGGAUGACUGCCCUAUGGGUUGUAAACUUCUUUUAUAAGGGAAUAAAGUGAGGGACGUGUCCCUUUUUGUAUGUACCUUAUGAAUAAGGAUCGGCUAACUCCGCGCCAGCAGCCGCGGUAAUACGGAGGAUCCAAGCGUUAUCCGGACUUAUUGGGGUUAAAGGGAGCGUAGGUAGACAUAUACGUCAGAUGUGAAAGUUUACGGCUCAACCGUGAAAAUGCAGUUGAUACUGUAUGUCUUGAGUGUACAAGAGAUGGACGGGAUUCGUGGUGUAGCGGUGAAAUGCGUAGAGAUCACGAAGAACUCCAAUUGCGAAGGCAGCUCACUGGGGUACAACUGACACUGAGGCUCGAAAGUGUGGGUAUCAAACAG